UACGUAGGGGGCGAGCGUUGUCCGGAUUUAUUGGGCGUAAAGAGCAUGUAGGCGGCCAGGUAGGUCUGCUGUGAAAACUCGAGGCUCAACCUCGAGACGUCGGCGGAAACCAUCUGGCUAGAGUCCGGAAGAGGAGAGUGGAAUUCCUGGUGUAGCGGUGAAAUGCGCAGAUAUCAGGAAGAACACCCGUGGCGAAGGCGGCUCUCUGGGACGGUACUGACGCUGAGACGCGAAAGCUAGGGGAGCAAACAGG
RNAcentral lists this ribosomal RNA (253 nucleotides) under uncultured bacterium. RNAcentral's name for it is "partial 16S ribosomal RNA". It matches the Rfam family "Bacterial small subunit ribosomal RNA", at positions 524 to 776 of the family's 1533-position model. The record is from RNAcentral.